Molecule: non-coding RNA, 369 nt
Organism: Chiloscyllium plagiosum (whitespotted bambooshark)
Lineage: Eukaryota; Metazoa; Chordata; Chondrichthyes; Orectolobiformes; Hemiscylliidae
Source: RefSeq, a predicted model, not a curated record
ACCACAUUCAUUGCUCAACACCAACUGGCCGAAGAAACUGGGGUGGACAAUUUUCAACCUGCUGCAGGCCUUGCUCUGAUAGAAUUAUGUCCAUAGGAAUUCCAGAAUUUUAAUACAACAAACAUCACUGAGGGAGGGACAACACUUGGUCAGUCUGGACAGCGGCACCACAGCAAACAAAAAAAUGCCAGCUACUGUCGAGGACCAGGAUAAAACAGAGGAAAAUGUCAGCGAUAAACUUCACAGACUUCAGUUGAACUCUCAGCAAAAAGUGAUUUUAUUUGUAAAAUAUCAUGAAUUUUUAAGCAAUAUCCAGUGUUUGUACACAUUUUAUCGAUUCAAUGAAAUUAAAACUCUGUAAACAUGCUA